GAAUUCGGUAGACGCUACGGACUUAAAAUCCGUUGGCUUUUUAGACCAUGAGGGUUCAAGUCCCUCUACCCCCA
This 74-nucleotide transfer RNA is filed under the name Schistochilopsis cornuta. Its description in RNAcentral is "partial tRNA-Leu". It matches the Rfam family "tRNA", at positions 12 to 71 of the family's 71-position model. Rfam says of the family: Transfer RNA (tRNA) molecules are approximately 80 nucleotides in length. Their secondary structure includes four short double-helical elements and three loops (D, anti-codon, and T loops). Lineage: Eukaryota; Viridiplantae; Streptophyta; Jungermanniopsida; Jungermanniales; Scapaniaceae. The record is from RNAcentral. RNAcentral also lists the same sequence under 3 other names.